AUGAACGCUAGCUACAGGCUUAACACAUGCAAGUCGAGGGGCAGCAUGGUCUUAGCUUGCUAAGGCCGAUGGCGACCGGCGCACGGGUGAGUAACACGUAUCCAACCUGCCGUCUACUCUUGGACAGCCUUCUGAAAGGAAGAUUAAUACAAGAUGGCAUCAUGAGUCCGCAUGUUCACAUGAUUAAAGGUAUUCCGGUAGACGAUGGGGAUGCGUUCCAUUAGAUAGUAGGCGGGGUAACGGCCCACCUAGUCUUCGAUGGAUAGGGGUUCUGAGAGGAAGGUCCCCCACAUUGGAACUGAGACACGGUCCAAACUCCUACGGGAGGCAGCAGUGAGGAAUAUUGGUCAAUGGGCGAGAGCCUGAACCAGCCAAGUAGCGUGAAGGAUGACUGCCCUAUGGGUUGUAAACUUCUUUUAUAAAGGAAUAAAGUCGGGUAUGGAUACCCGUUUGCAUGUACUUUAUGAAUAAGGAUCGGCUAACUCCGUGCCAGCAGCCGCGGUAAUACGGAGGAUCCGAGCGUUAUCCGGAUUUAUUGGGUUUAAAGGGAGCGUAGAUGGAUGUUUAAGUCAGUUGUGAAAGUUUGCGGCUCAACCGUAAAAUUGCAGUUGAUACUGGAUAUCUUGAGUGCAGUUGAGGCAGGCGGAAUUCGUGGUGUAGCGUGAAAUGCUUAGAUAUCACGAAGAACUCCGAUGCAA
RNAcentral lists this ribosomal RNA (698 nucleotides) under Bacteroides sp. ES-25. Its description in RNAcentral is "bacterial SSU rRNA". It matches the Rfam family "Bacterial small subunit ribosomal RNA", at positions 29 to 718 of the family's 1533-position model. Lineage: Bacteria; Pseudomonadati; Bacteroidota; Bacteroidia; Bacteroidales; Bacteroidaceae. The record is from RNAcentral.